This 108-nucleotide non-coding RNA is filed under the name Brevibacillus massiliensis. RNAcentral's name for it is "SAM riboswitch (S box leader)". It matches the Rfam family "SAM riboswitch aptamer (S box leader)". From Rfam's summary of the family: The SAM riboswitch is found upstream of a number of genes which code for proteins involved in methionine or cysteine biosynthesis in Gram-positive bacteria. Lineage: Bacteria; Bacillati; Bacillota; Bacilli; Caryophanales; Paenibacillaceae. The record is from RNAcentral.
UCUUAUCAAGAGUGGUGGAGGGACUGGCCCGAUGAAACCCGGCAACCCCGCAAGAGCGGAGAGGUGCUAAAUCCUACAAGUGUAACAGCGUGCACUUGAGAGAUAAGA